CACCUGUGAUGGCCUAAAAUAAAACCAGAAGUGAGGCAGAGCCAGCUGUAUGAGUUAAAAUGAAGUCUAGCCACAUGAGUGAAACUAAGAAUUUGCACCAUGACCUUUAGUGCUAGAAGUAGAUCCUCCAUAAUAAAAGGAAUUAAAUCUUCAGACUGCAAUGAUGACCCUAAAUUAGGUUAUAGAUUUUGUUAAGUGAUUUCGCAGAACAGCUCUGCAGAGAAAUGAUUGAGAAGUUAAUCUGUUCCGCUGAGAUGAGAAGUGUAUCUUUGUCCUUGGAGAGUUGCAGUCUGCCCAGGCUAUGACCUUCUUGGAGCCAUACCAUUUUUCAGGUUAUCUUCUAGAAACAGAAGAAAUAAAAGGGAAGGUGUUUUCAUCUGCCAACACCAGUUUACCCAGAAGUAGGUGCAAAGGAACCUGUUGGAGAACUAUCCAUGUCAAUCACUACCCUUGA
Molecule: long non-coding RNA, 454 nt
Filed under: Anser brachyrhynchus (Pink-footed goose)
Lineage: Eukaryota; Metazoa; Chordata; Aves; Anseriformes; Anatidae
Description: lncRNA (ENSABRG00000020185.1)
Source: RNAcentral